CAUUUUAGCAUUGAUCAGUUUAGUGAACCGCAAACACCAGAGGCACGGCGAAAGUUAGUAACUGGUGCUGUGCCAGUAAUCUUUGCCUGGAAUAAUUACACAGCUAAAGCACUGCGGCCCAGUGUGUGGGAGAGGAGAGAGAGGCCUGCCGAAGUGGUAUCCGCUGAACCCGUACCCAUGGAUGUAACGAUGGAUCAUGAUUACUGUAGCAUUCCUGAGCCUUCUUCAUUAGACCUGGCAUGUGCUAAAGUAGAAGAACUCUCUAAUGAAGUGGAGGAGCUGAAAAAACAGCUACAUGAGCUACACGUUCAGCGUGAUUUCGCAUUGGAGCGGUUUGCCGGCUCAGAUGAGGACAUCAGAUUUUACACAAGGUUUCCCAGCUACCGUCACCUGAUGUCAUUCUGAUGGCUAAUCGAGCCAUCUGUACACAAAAUCAUUCGUGUGUCCAGAUCGAAAUCUGCUGCUAGAAAGCAUGAAGAUAUCACACGUGUACUGCCACCAUCAGAGAGACAGCUGCUGCAGCCAAUCGAUGAGUUUUUUCUUUUCCUUAUGCACCUGUCAGUUGGUUUAGAGGAGAGAGACCUGGCACACCGAUUUCAUAUGCAUCCUUCCACAGUGAGCAGAAUAAUUUCGACGUGGACAAACUACCUCUAUACACUGCUGGGAUCAGUGUGUGUGUGGCUUUCAGCAGCUGAUGUA
Long non-coding RNA from Carassius carassius (crucian carp), 699 nucleotides. RefSeq lists it as uncharacterized. The transcript has 3 exons. Lineage: Eukaryota; Metazoa; Chordata; Actinopteri; Cypriniformes; Cyprinidae. The record is from RefSeq and is a predicted model, not a curated record.